Molecule: ribosomal RNA, 484 nt
Filed under: uncultured bacterium
Lineage: Bacteria
Description: partial 16S ribosomal RNA
Rfam family: Bacterial small subunit ribosomal RNA
Source: RNAcentral
AUUGAACGCUGGCGGCAGGCCUAACACAUGCAAGUCGAGCGGAUGAAGGGAGCUUGCUCCUGGAUUCAGCGGCGGACGGGUGAGUAAUGCCUAGGAAUCUGCCUGGUAGUGGGGGAUAACGUCCGGAAACGGGCGCUAAUACCGCAUACGUCCUGAGGGAGAAAGUGGGGGAUCUUCGGACCUCACGCUAUCAGAUGAGCCUAGGUCGGAUUAGCUAGUUGGUGGGGUAAAGGCCUACCAAGGCGACGAUCCGUAACUGGUCUGAGAGGAUGAUCAGUCACACUGGAACUGAGACACGGUCCAGACUCCUACGGGAGGCAGCAGUGGGGAAUAUUGGACAAUGGGCGAGAGCCUGAUCCAACCAUGCCGCGUGUGUGAAGAAGGUCUUCGGAUUGUAAAGCACUUUAAGUUGGGAGGAAGGGCAGUAAGUUAAUACCUUGCUGUUUUGACGUUACCAACAGAAUAAGCACCGGCUAACUUCGUG